UCCCUUGUAGCUUAGCUGGUAAAGAAUCUGCCUUUAAUGCAUGAGACCUAGGUUCAAUCCCUGGUUUGGGAA
This 72-nucleotide transfer RNA is filed under the name Ovis aries (sheep). It matches the Rfam family "tRNA". Rfam says of the family: Transfer RNA (tRNA) molecules are approximately 80 nucleotides in length. Their secondary structure includes four short double-helical elements and three loops (D, anti-codon, and T loops). The record is from Rfam by way of RNAcentral. Lineage: Eukaryota; Metazoa; Chordata; Mammalia; Artiodactyla; Bovidae.